RNAcentral lists this ribosomal RNA (402 nucleotides) under Parathelphusa pantherina. RNAcentral's name for it is "partial 16S large subunit ribosomal RNA". It matches the Rfam family "Bacterial large subunit ribosomal RNA", at positions 1915 to 2597 of the family's 2925-position model. The record is from RNAcentral. Lineage: Eukaryota; Metazoa; Arthropoda; Malacostraca; Decapoda; Gecarcinucidae.
AAUUAUUUAAGGGCCGCGGUAUUAUGACCGUGCAAAGGUAGCAUAAUCAUUAGGUUUUUAAAUGAGAUCUUGCAUGAAUGGUUGGACAAAGGAGAAACUGUCUUUAUUUUAAGAUUUGAAUUUUACUUUUAAGUGAGAAGGCUUAAAUAAUUUAGAGGGACGAUAAGACCCUAUAAAGCGUUUUAUUGGGGAGAUAGAAGUAUAAAUAUUAACUGCUUAAAUUACAAAUACAUAUGGAUAGAUCCUAAAUAAAGAGUAGAAGAUUAAGUUACUUUAGGGAUAACAGUGUAAUUUUUUUUGAGAGUUCAUAUCGAAAAAAAAGUUUGCAACCUCGAUGUUGAAUUAAAAUAUCUGUAUAAUGUAGCUGUUAUAUAAGAGGGUCUGUUCGACCUUUAAUUUUUU